CAUCAGACACGAAGGAGAGGCCAACAGAUGAGGGAAGCCAUUUUUCUGCAAUGGAAUUAAAUGGCCAAGCCCAAGGACUCACAGUUGGAAGACUGGAGAAGACUUUUUAAAAAGAUCUGGAUUUUUCCUUAUGACUUGGAAUCCAUCUUUGUCUUGUAUAACUAGGUCAUAGCACACCAUUCAUGUCAGCAGUUAACAGUUUUGAAUUCCAAAAAAACCUAAAGCAGUAAACAGUCCUCAGCGAAGCCGCCUUUUUGCCUACCCAACCCUGGAAAGUUUGCAGAAGUGGAAGGAGCAGAACGUGAGGGUGUAACUUACAAAAAGGUUCUGGGCCGGAGAAGGGGCGACGUUCGGGCACCCCCCGAAUGGACAAUCUUUCCUUCUGUCAACGGCAGGGGCAGGCCUAGUUUGACUCUGACAGUCCUCCCACUAAGGAAUUCCUGGUGACUGGAAGGGGGAGUGACUCAGGCCCUCAACCUCUAGCAGGUAAGGGAGCUACCUCCUGGGUGGGCAUGCCCAGUUCCUCAGUGGGCCCAGCGCGGCCCAGCCUCCGAGGAAGCUCUGAGCAGCUGGCUUGGCUCCGAGGUAUUUUUAGCUACAGAUCCAGCCCCCCUCCAUCACCACAACAGUCGAGUCCAAAUCAAACGCGCUCCAGGCAGGUGGGGCUGGGGUUCUGCCAGCCUCCUGGCCAGCAGGGGUGGGUGGGCAGACUGGGGCCAGUAUCAGCUGUUCUGCCUGGACCCAGGCCGGGCUGGGAAGGCACACUUGUGCUUAUUUCCCGCCUCCACUUCUGUGCAAGCUUGUGCUGUCAUAAGCAGAGAUCACAGCCCCAUUUCUUGGAUGGAGAAAGUGGACACUGAGGUCUGAGGCUUUUGAGGACAGUCAGGAGCCCUCCUAUGGGCUCCAGUGAUGCACUCACCAGCUUCUGGUCCUCUUCUUCCACCUCUUAGAGUGCCUUGGCUCCCUCCUGUCGUCCUGGGGAACCUCGGCCCCAGCCCUGCCUCCCCAGCCAGUCACAGCUCCUCCCUGGUCACCCUGAGGGAGCUCAGGGCCCGGCUGGUAGCUGGGUUGCUCUGCUUCUGUCCCCCACUCCUGUGGAGCCUGGCAGGCAACUCCAUGAUCUGACCCCGGUUACCUUGACAGCCCUGCCUGGCCUCCCCUCUCAUGGCCCAGCCACCCCAGAACCUGAAGAGGUUUUCUAGCUGCCGUGCAUUUGCCAGGCUGGGUUACCCACCCUACUUUCCCUGCCUGCCCUCCAGUGCUGCCAGGCCUAGUGUGCCAGCCAGCGCUCAGCCUUCAGUAAAGGGUUCCCCUGCUUCCAACCUCCAUUGCACUGCUUCCCCUAAGACUGUGACCUCCUGGAAGGCUGGAGCACAACUGCCUCUCAAUAAACGUGUUGCAAAAAAGGAAAAAAAAAAAAAAAAAA
Molecule: long non-coding RNA, 1426 nt
Filed under: Homo sapiens (human)
Lineage: Eukaryota; Metazoa; Chordata; Mammalia; Primates; Hominidae
Description: long independently transcribed non-coding RNA 1089, transcript variant 5 (LINC01089)
Source: RNAcentral